Molecule: ribosomal RNA, 428 nt
Filed under: uncultured bacterium
Lineage: Bacteria
Description: bacterial SSU rRNA
Rfam family: Bacterial small subunit ribosomal RNA
Source: RNAcentral
CGAACGCUGGCGGCAGGCCUAACACAUGCAAGUCGAACGCCCCGCAAGGGGAGUGGCAGACGGGUGAGUAACACGUGGGAACCUUCCCUAUAGUAUGGAAUAGCCCAGGGAAACUUGGAGUAAUACCGUAUACGCCCGCAAGGGGAAAGAUUUAUCGCUAUAGGAUGAGCCCGCGUAGGAUUAGCUAGUUGGUGAGGUAAAGGCUCACCAAGGCGACGAUCCUUAGCUGGUCUGAGAGGAUGAUCAGCCACACUGGGACUGAGACACGGCCCAGACUCCUACGGGAGGCAGCAGUGGGGAAUAUUGGACAAUGGGCGAAAGCCUGAUCCAGCAAUGCCGCGUGAGUGAUGAAGGCCUUAGGGUUGUAAAGCUCUUUUACCCGGGAUGAUAAUGACAGUACCGGGAGAAUAAGCCCCGGCUAACUCCGU